Molecule: ribosomal RNA, 348 nt
Filed under: uncultured Sphingobacteriales bacterium
Lineage: Bacteria; Pseudomonadati; Bacteroidota; Sphingobacteriia; Sphingobacteriales
Description: bacterial SSU rRNA
Rfam family: Bacterial small subunit ribosomal RNA
Source: RNAcentral
CAAGGUGCUGCAUGGUUGUCGUCAGCUCGUGCCGUGAGGUGUCGGGUAAGUCCCAUAACGAGCGCAACCCUAACAUUAGUUGCCAUCAGGUCAAGCUGGGGACUCUAAUGAAACUGCCUACGCAAGUAGUGAGGAAGGUGGGGAUGACGUCAAAUCAGCACGGCCCUUACGUCCAGGGCUACACACGUGCUACAAUGGCCGGUACAAAGGGCAGCUACCUGGGUGACAGGAUGCUAAUCUCAAAAGCCGGUCUCAGUUCGGAUCGGAGUCUGCAACCCGACUCCGUGAAGCUGGAAUCGCUAAUAAUCGCGCAUCAGCCAUGGCGCGGUGAAUACGUUCCCGGGCCUU